RNAcentral lists this unclassified non-coding RNA (336 nucleotides) under soil metagenome. Its description in RNAcentral is "partial contains 5.8S ribosomal RNA, internal transcribed spacer 2, and large subunit ribosomal RNA". The stretch from base 1 to 120 matches the Rfam family "5.8S ribosomal RNA", at positions 35 to 154 of the family's 154-position model. The record is from RNAcentral.
GAUGAAGAACGUAGCGAAAUGCGAUCAGUAGUGUGAAUUGCAGAAUUCAGUGAAUCAUCGAAUCUUUGAACGCACAUUGCGCCCCUUGGUAUUCCAUGGGGCAUGCCUGUUCGAGCGUCAUUUGUACCUUCAAGCUUUGCUUGGUGUUGGGUGUUUGUCUCGCCUUUGCGUGUAGACUCGCCUUAAAAUAAUUGGCAGCCGGCGUAUUGAUUUCGGAGCGCAGUACAUCUCGCGCUUUGCACUCAUAACGACAGCGUCCAAAAGUACAUUUUACACUCUUGACCUCGGAUCAGGUAGGGAUACCCGCUGAACUUAAGCAUAUCAAUAAGCGGAGGA